CCUCGGAUGGUCGCAUGGCCGACCGAGGAAAUGCUCUGGCGCUCUGGAAGGUCUCGCGGCCUAUCAGCUAGUUGGUGGGGUAACGGCCUACCAAGGCAUCGACGGGUAGUUGGUCUGAGAGGCGAUCAGCCACACUGGGACUGAGACCCGGCCCAGACUUUUACGGGGGGCAGCAGUGGGGAAUAUUGCGCAAUGGGCGAAAGCCUGACGCAGCAACGCCGCGUGAGGGAUGCCGGCCUUCGGGUUGUAAACCUCUUUCAGUGAUGACGAAAAUGACGGUAGUCACAGAAGAAGCUCCGGCCAACUACGUGCCAGCAGCCGCGGUAACACGUAGGGAGCGAGCGUUGUCCGGAUUCAUUGGGCGUAAAGAGCUCGUAGGCGGUUGCGUAAGUCGGAUGUAAAACCUCAGGGCUCAACCCGGAGAUGCCAUCCGAUACUGCGCUGACUAGAGUCCGGUAGGGGAGCAUGGAAUUCCUGGUGUAGCGGUGGAAUGCGCAGACAUCAGGAGGAACCCCAGUGGCGAAGGCGGUGCUCUGGGCCGGUACUGACGCUGAGGAGCGAAAGCGUGGGGAGCGAACAGGAUUAGAUACCCUGGUAGUC
This 600-nucleotide ribosomal RNA is filed under the name uncultured Actinomycetes bacterium. RNAcentral describes it as "bacterial SSU rRNA". It matches the Rfam family "Bacterial small subunit ribosomal RNA", at positions 173 to 795 of the family's 1533-position model. The record is from RNAcentral. Lineage: Bacteria; Bacillati; Actinomycetota; Actinomycetes.